Long non-coding RNA from Hemiscyllium ocellatum (epaulette shark), 283 nucleotides. RefSeq lists it as uncharacterized. The record is from RefSeq and is a predicted model, not a curated record. The transcript is spliced from 3 exons. Lineage: Eukaryota; Metazoa; Chordata; Chondrichthyes; Orectolobiformes; Hemiscylliidae.
CUUGGGAUGAGCAAAAUAAUUUCUUAUUUUAAUUUUUUGAGAAACAAAAAAAGUCCCAGUGGAAGCCGCAAACGGGAAUUGGAAAGUGGGGCAUUGUGGAUCUAGUGGUCCGCGUUGGCGUGUCAUACAUGGUAGCGUUUUGGAAGAGGAAAAAUACCAUGUCAGCGUUGAGGAAGAUACCACGUAUUCUGCAGAAGCAUUGCUGUAUUUUACCUGAAACAAACACAGGAAGAAUGGAAAGACAAAUGGCUACUGAAGCUGUGGUAGAGUGCCUUCUCAAAGG